This 496-nucleotide ribosomal RNA is filed under the name uncultured bacterium. RNAcentral's name for it is "partial 16S ribosomal RNA". It matches the Rfam family "Bacterial small subunit ribosomal RNA", at positions 28 to 506 of the family's 1533-position model. The record is from RNAcentral.
GAUGAACGCUGGCGGCGUGCCUAAUACAUGCAAGUCGAGCGAACAGACAAGGAGCUUGCUCCUCUGACGUUAGCGGCGGACGGGUGAGUAACACGUGGAUAACCUACCUAUAAGACUGGGAUAACUUCGGGAAACCGGAUCUAAUACCGGAUAACAUGUUGAACCGCAUGGUUCAACAGUGAAAGACGGUCUUGCUGUCACUUAUAGAUGGAUCCGCGCCGCAUUAGCUAGUUGGUAAGGUAACGGCUUACCAAGGCAACGAUGCGUAGCCGACCUGAGAGUGUGGUAGGCCACACUGGAACUGAGACACGGUCCAGACUCCUACGGGAGGCAGCAGUAGGGAAUCUUCCGCAAUGGGCGAAAGCCUGACGGAGCAACGCCGCGUGAGUGAAGAAGGUCUUCGGAUCGUAAAACUCUGUUAUUAGGGAAGAACAAAUGUGUAAGUAACUAUGCACGUCUUGACGGUACCUCAGCAGAAAGCCACGGCUAACUACGU